RNAcentral lists this signal recognition particle RNA (98 nucleotides) under Bacteroidota bacterium. RNAcentral's name for it is "Bacteroidetes bacterium (activated sludge metagenome) signal recognition particle sRNA small type". It matches the Rfam family "Bacteroidales small SRP", at positions 8 to 103 of the family's 107-position model. From Rfam's summary of the family: The non-coding component of the signal recognition particle in Bacteroides The record is from RNAcentral. Lineage: Bacteria; Pseudomonadati; Bacteroidota.
GGGCGAGCCUCAUGCGACCAGCUCCUGCUCACUCCCCCAGGUCGGAAACGAAGCAAGGGUAGGCGGUUGAGCGGUGCGACAUGAGUUACUUGCCCUAU